RNAcentral lists this ribosomal RNA (1496 nucleotides) under Mycoplasma sp. Phocoena C-269. RNAcentral's name for it is "16S ribosomal RNA". It matches the Rfam family "Bacterial small subunit ribosomal RNA". The record is from RNAcentral. Lineage: Bacteria; Bacillati; Mycoplasmatota; Mollicutes; Mycoplasmatales; Mycoplasmataceae.
GGAUGAACGCUGGCUGUGUGCCUAAUACAUGCAUGUCGAGCGGAGUUCUUCGGAACUUAGCGGCGAAUGGGUGAGUAACACGUACUUAACAUACCUUUUGGUUUGGGAUAACGUUUGGAAACAGACGCUAAUACCGGAUAUUUGUUUUAAUCGCAUGAUUGAAACAUAAAAGGGGCUUCAAAGCCUCGCCUUAAGAUUGGGGUGCGUAACAUUAGUUAGUUGGUAAGGUAACGGCUUACCAAGACGAUGAUGUUUAGCCGGGUUGAGAGACCGACCGGCCACACUGGGACUGAGAUACGGCCCAGACUCCUACGGGAGGCAGCAGUAGGGAAUAUUCCACAAUGGGCGAAAGCCUGAUGGAGCGACACAGCGUGCACGAUGACGCCCUUCGGGGUGUAAAGUGCUGUUAUAAGAGAAGAAAAAGUAGUGUAGGAAAUGACAUUACCUUGACGGUAUCUUAUCAGAAAGUGACGGCUAACUAUGUGCCAGCAGCCGCGGUAAUACAUAGGUCACGAGCGUUAUCCGAAAUUAUUGGGCGUAAAGCGUCCGUAGGUUGUUUGUUAAGUCUAGCGUUAAAUCUUGGGGCUCAACCCCAUUCCGCGUUAGAUACUGGCAAGCUAGAGUUAUAUAGAGGUUAGUGGAAUUCAAUGUGAAGCGGUGGAAUGCGUAGAUAUAUUGAAGAACACCAAUGGCGAAGGCAGCUAACUGGGUAUAAACUGACACUGAGGGACGAAAGCGUGGGGAGCAAACAGGAUUAGAUACCCUGGUAGUCCACGCCGUAAACGAUGAUCAUUAGUUGGUGGAAAAUUCACUAACACAGCUAACGCAUUAAAUGAUCCGCCUGAGUAGUAUGCUCGCAAGAGUGAAACUUAAAGGAAUUGACGGGGAUCCGCACAAGCGGUGGAGCAUGUGGUUUAAUUUGAAGAUACGCGUAGAACCUUACCCACACUUGACAUCUUCUGCAAUGCUAUGGAGACAUAGCGGAGGUUAACAGAAUGACAGGUGGUGCAUGGUUGUCGUCAGCUCGUGUCGUGAGAUGUUUGGUUAAGUCCUGCAACGAGCGCAACCCCUAUCAUUAGUUACUAACAUUAAGUUGAGGACUCUAAUGAGACUGCCCGAGUAAUCGGGAGGAAGGUGGGGACGACGUCAAAUCAUCAUGCCUCUUACGUGUGGGGCAACACACGUGCUACAAUGGAUGAUACAAAGAGAAGCAACCCGGCGACGGUGAGCAAACCUCAUAAAAUCAUUCUCAGUUCGGAUUGGAGUCUGCAACUCGACUCCAUGAAGUCGGAAUCGCUAGUAAUCGUAGGUCAGCUACACUACGGUGAAUACGUUCUCGGAUCUUGUACACACCGCCCGUCACACCAUGGGAGCUGGAAAUGCCCGAAGCCGGUUAGCUAACUUCGGAGGCGACUGUCUAAGGCAGGUCCGGUGACUGGGGUGAAGUCGUAACAAGGUAUCCCUACGAGAACGUGGGGAUGGAUCACCUCCUUUCU